CAGCCCACUGGCUUCUCAGCGGUCACCUCUCUACCUCUGCCUCUCUCUGCCUGUGUCUCUCUCUCAGUGAGCGAACAUUCAGUCUCUCUCUUACUCUCUGAGUCGUCAGGUUGAAUUUCUCUCUUCUUUUUCCCUUGUUAUGACCCAUUUGAGGAGCACCUUCCAUAGAGACAGACACACCAAGAUGAACGGUGAGCUGAGAGCUGUUCGCACCACUACAGGCAAGAGAGGAAGCAGCGAUCAUGACAGAUCUGACUAUGAUAUGGAGCACAAGGGAUACCCUGGUGAACACUGUAACCGGGUUUUUGAUUAUCAGCGCGUCCCCUCUUCAGUCCCAGUGGAUCCCAUUCCUGUCAAAAGGCCACGCCCUUCAUCUUCCUCCUCUUCCUCAUCAUCUUCCUCCACAGUGGCUCUGAGGAUGAAGAACAGUAGAGCGACCAACAGGAACAACAAGACACACACCUCUGCGUCUGGCAGCAGCAAUGUUAAAUUGAAGAUGGCAGAGCUUCUUGCCAUAAAGAGUGAGCUGACAGUGAUCAAGGUUCAGAUUGAUGGCCUGUUGGACUGCGUAGACAAGAUGGACAGACAGCGGAAGGACUGUUCAGAGUGUCCUCAGAGCAGGGAGUCCAGUGUGUUGAACUCUCCUCACCAAGGUUCAGUCUGCAGUGUGGAGAGAGAGAGUCCUGAACCAGGAGAGGCCAGUGCAGAUGAGUCACUGCACUACCAGGACUACUACCCCCACAGCUACUCCCACAGGAUAAAGCAUUAUCAUUCUCAGGAGGAUGACCUGUGAUGCUGCAGUCCAGAUCCUUGUAGAACAGAGGCUCACAUUGGUAACAGCUGGUAUUGAAGAUGCUUCCAGAAGAUGUUGGCAACUUGACCUGCAUGAACUCUCCUCUACACCUGAAUUCAUCCAGUACCGUCAGUUUGAUUUGUAUUAUGUUGUACCAUCUUCUGUUCUGGUUUCCAGUUUACGCUGAUGGUAAAAUCUCAGUUGUGUUCCUCACACAUCACUGACACCAGCACUCUAUAUUAAAAAUAUCUUUUAACUUUAAAACCAUACUGGUUAGAUGAUCACCACUGAUUUCAACUACAGUAAUAUCAAUAGGUUCAAAAAAUUAGCUUACAGCAACUUCCUCUUAAGACCCAAGCUUUGGUUGGCCUUGCAUUUUAGAUUUCUUCAAAUUAUUUGGGAAAAGGAGUAACCAAUAAAUAUAAUAAUUGGAUAAUAUCAAAUAUCUCAUUAUUAUGUUUAUUAUAUUUAUAUUGUUAUUGUUGUUAUUAUUAUUAAUAUUCUUAUUUUGUUAUUAUUAUUAUUAUUAUUAUUAUUAUUAUUAUUAUUAUUAUUAUUAGUAGUAGUAGUAGUAGUAGUAGUAGUAUUAACAAUACGCUCUUUAAAAAAAAAAGAUGUUUAGGAGGUUAAAAUUUCUUCAUUCAAAUAAUUCUUUGUAAUGAGCAAUUUAUUAGAUUUUAUUUGGGAUUUUUUUAGUAAUGCAAUCAAGGGUCUGUCGACAUCUUUGCCUCAAUCAAACAACAUUUUAUUCAUUGGUCGCAAAGUUAACAUUGGACUGUAGAUGUAUUUUCUUCGCUUUUGGCCUGAUCCGUCCCCUAACCACGCUGUCCUGCUGGACUCCCCACUGAUCACCAUUAAUGAAGUCAGUUUGGCAGCAGCUGGCAGCUCCUUAUCACACAAUUUAUUUUCAUCAGGCCUGCUUUCAUUAUGUGUAACCAGCUGUGUGCAGGACUGCAUUAUAGUUCUGAGUUUAAGCCUGAAUGAGCAUAGUUUUAUGACUCCCUGGGUCUACACUGUUCAAUUCACUCAGAAAAACAGCUAUAAAGUGAUAUAUGGACUCUGACAAUUUCCUGAAAUGAACACUAGCUCAGAAGGAAAAUUGCAUGUAGUGGAUAUAAAUUGGAAGAUUACAAUUUUCCACCGUGAAUAUGAAUCUUUUUACGAUAACAUCCAUGACCGUGACAUUUUCAGCGGUUAGUUAAAUUCAAUUUUGCUGAAACUUUAUUUGAUCACUUGUUAGUUUAGGUUAGCAAACAAAUUUAUCAAGAAAAAUGUUAGAAUACAUUUAGCAGCUUAAUCACUGGCUUUAAAAUUAGCUUAAAGCACAGUUUUUGAUAAUUGGAUCUGCUCUUGGUUUGUUUCACAUUAACUCUUCAACGAUUAGUUUAGAUUUUUUGAAGUCGAGUUGUAAGAGCUACUUAUUGAUAGUUAGUUUAUUACCUAUAUUAGAUUGCAGUUGGCACAUCCACAGUUUGGACAUGCAGGAGUUUACGGCAUGGAAACUAAGCAAUGCAAUGUUGUGGAGAGGGACAGCAGCCAAAUAUAUUUUAGCCACCCAAAGAGACCCAACUGAAGAAUCACUAUCAGUUUAAGUGUAUGCUCACUUGCCCAUGUUCACUGUUAUGCUGAAAAUGACUUUCUGAUGACAAGAUAAAGCAGUUAAAAUAUUCCAAAUAUAGUGUGCACUUAAAAUAAUAUAGAUGUUUUGGGCUAUGCCUUUUUUUUUUUUAGGUUGCUAAAAUAUGUUUUGUUGCUGACUCUGUCCACAGCAAUCUUUGUGUCAGUACUCCUGUCUGCUUCUCCAAAUUGUGGGUGUGCCAGCUUCCAUCUAUACACUGACUAUGAAUAAGUACCUCACAAAACCCUACUUAGGUGAAGCUCUCAGUUUUGCAAGUUGGCCUUUGUUCCAACACUCACUUAUGGUCAUGAGUUCUAGGUGGUGACUGAAAGAACAAGAUUGUAACUACAAGUAGCCAAAAUGGGUUUUGUCUGUACGGUGGGUGGGUUGAGUCCUGAAAUCGAGAGAGGAGCUUGGACAUCCAUGAGUAGAUGGGGAUGGGAGUACAGUCGCUGAUCCUUCAUGUUGACAGGAGCCAGGUGGGGUGGUUUACCAUCUGAUUAGGAUGCCUAGUGGGCGGAAGUUUUCCGGGAAUGUCCAACUAGGGGGAGACCUCGAACCCAGAACCCAGAACCCAGAACCCAGAACUUCCUGGACUACACAUCUCAUCUGGCCUUGGAAUACCUCAGUAUCCUUCAGGAGGAACUGGAAAUUGUUGCUAGGGAGAGGGAAACUGCUGCCAUAAUGACCCAACGCUGAAUAAUUGGAAGAAAAUGGAUGGAUCCGCCAGUAGUUCUCAAAGAGUUAACAUUGUGCUACAGAUCAGUUUAGUGGAUUCUGUUUUCCUUAGAUUAGCUGAAGAACCAGUUUAACAGAGCAAAACCUGUGGUCCAGGUCAGCUAUUGCUUUGUUUAGGAGAUAAAAACAAUUAUAUUCAGGUUAUCCAGAGCAAAGUAUAAUAGCUUGGUUCAGUUUAGCUGGUGGAUUAAUUUGCAAGAUCAAAGAGUUAUUUUCAGAAAAGCCAGUACAGUUUAGGUGAAAUUAGCAAGUGGAUUAUUAUAGGCCAGUUUGUUUCAGGUUUCAGUGAGGACUACAGGUGUAAAUAAGCUGCUGACCCUUUUACACCAGCCUCUAUGAAAUGUCAGUACUGAUUAAUCUACACUGUCCACUUUGAUAGAUAAAUACAUUUCAAAAGAAAACUUGUCAGCAGGUGGAGACUGCAAUGAGACCAUCAGAUGAGAGUUGACAAUAAAAGUACCAGCUGGUUCAUGUUUCCUGAAAGAUGAUAAAGCCUUGCCCUGGCUUUGCAUUUCAAAUGCUUGUUGCAUGUGUCAGAUAUAGUAAUUUUCCGUCACUUUUACAUGUUAUUAAAAUCGCAGUGAAUUUAUGAUCACCGUCAGUGCAAAUGUGCAUGAGUAAAUACUAAAGGACUUUUUGUGGCCCAGAGUUGUACUGCCAUCGCACUGUUAAAUGACAGUUACACUGUGCUGCACCGCACACUUCUACGAAGACAACUCACAUAAAGUGUGUAGCAUUCAAUAUGCUAUCGUUACUUCUGCAAAAAUGGUUCAGUGUCAUAUUCAUUGGUUGGAGCCAUAUUGCAUUUUGUGAGAUAUUGUUCAUUCCACCAGAAUUUGGGUGAUGGUUUAAUGGAGAGUAUAACCACUAAAGUGUUGCCAAGUCAAACAUAUAAAGACUUGUCAAUAUAAACAGCAAUGACUGUAAAUAUGUUCAGAAUGUUCAUGUAAAAUAUUUGUUGUUUUAAAAAAAAGUGAUACUUGAAAUUAUUUAUGUGCAUAGUAGCGACUCUUUAUUUAAAAAAAAAUGUAUUUUAAAUAUUUUUUAAAAAGGUGAAAAUGUUUUAAUAAGAAAUCCUGUAACUGCAGACAGAAUUGUUUUGGAAACUUCAUUGUAGCUUCUGUUGACACUUUUGUGUUUGGUCAGUGCUAAAUGUUACCUAUUUCAUUGUGAAAGUAGUAAACAUGUUUUUCAUAGAACUUG
Long non-coding RNA from Amphiprion ocellaris (clown anemonefish), 4352 nucleotides. Lineage: Eukaryota; Metazoa; Chordata; Actinopteri; Pomacentridae. The record is from Ensembl.